Molecule: ribosomal RNA, 459 nt
Filed under: uncultured bacterium
Lineage: Bacteria
Description: partial 16S ribosomal RNA
Rfam family: Bacterial small subunit ribosomal RNA
Source: RNAcentral
CCUACGGGUGGCAGCAGUGAGGAAUAUUGGUCAAUGGGCGCGAGCCUGAACCAGCCAAGUCGCGUGAGGGAAGACGGCCCUAUGGAUUGUAAACCUCUUUUGUCUGGGAGCAAAAGAUGCCACGCGUGGCGUUCCGUGAGUACCCGAAGAAAAAGCAUCGGCUAACUCCGUGCCAGCAGCCGCGGUAAUACGGAGGAUGCGGGCGUUAUCCGGAUUUAUUGGGUUUAAGGGGUGCGCGGGGGGAAGUUCAAGUCAGCGGUAAAAUUGAGGGGCUCAACCUCUUAGGGCCGUUGAAACUGGUUGUCUUGAGUGAAGGAGAGGUAUGCGGAAUGCGUGGUGUAGCGGUGAAAUGCAUAGAUAUCACGCAGAACUCCGAUUGCGAAGGCAGUAUACUGGCGUGCAACUGACGCUGAGGCACGAAAGUGUGGGUAUCAAACAGGAUUAGAUACCCGGGUAGUC